AUUGAACGCUGGCGGCAUGCCUUACACAUGCAAGUCGAACGGCAGCACGGACUUCGGUCUGGUGGCGAGUGGCGAACGGGUGAGUAAUACAUCGGAACGUGCCUAGUAGUGGGGGAUAACUACUCGAAAGAGUGGCUAAUACCGCAUGAGAUCUACGGAUGAAAGCAGGGGAUCGCAAGACCUUGUGCUACUAGAGCGGCCGAUGGCAGAUUAGGUAGUUGGUGGGGUAACGGCCUACCAAGGCAACGAUGGGUAGCCGAUCUGAGAGGAUGAUCGGCCACACUGGAACUGAAACACGGUCCAG
RNAcentral lists this ribosomal RNA (304 nucleotides) under uncultured bacterium. RNAcentral describes it as "bacterial SSU rRNA". It matches the Rfam family "Bacterial small subunit ribosomal RNA", at positions 30 to 334 of the family's 1533-position model. The record is from RNAcentral.